This 253-nucleotide ribosomal RNA is filed under the name uncultured prokaryote. RNAcentral describes it as "partial 16S ribosomal RNA". It matches the Rfam family "Bacterial small subunit ribosomal RNA", at positions 525 to 777 of the family's 1533-position model. The record is from RNAcentral.
ACGUAGGACGCAAGCGUUAUCCGGAAUUACUGGGCGUAAAGGGCGUGCAGGCGGUUGGGCAAGUCUUCUGUGAAAGCACCUGGCUAAACCGGGUGAGUGCAGGGGAUACUUCCCGACUAGAGGACGGUAGAGGGGCAUAGAAUUCCGGGUGUAGUGGUGAAAUGCGUAGAUAUCCGGAGGAAUACCAGAGGCGAAGGCGAUGCCCUGGGCCGCACCUGACGCUAAGACGCGACAGCAUGGGGAGCGAACGGGA